RNAcentral lists this ribosomal RNA (472 nucleotides) under uncultured bacterium. Its description in RNAcentral is "partial 16S ribosomal RNA". It matches the Rfam family "Bacterial small subunit ribosomal RNA", at positions 28 to 507 of the family's 1533-position model. The record is from RNAcentral.
GACGAACGCUGGCGGCGUGCUUAACACAUGCAAGUCGAACGCUGAAGCUUGGUGCUUGCACUGGGUGGAUGAGUGGCGAACGGGUGAGUAAUACGUGUGUAACCUGCCCUUGACUCUGGGAUAAGCCUGGGAAACUGGGUCUAAUACUGGAUACGACAUGUCACCGCAUGGUGGUGUGUGGAAAGGGUUUUACUGGUUUUGGAUGGGCUCACGGCCUAUCAGCUUGUUGGUGGGGUAAUGGCUCACCAAGGCGACGACGGGUAGCCGGCCUGAGAGGGUGACCGGCCACACUGGGACUGAGACACGGCCCAGACUCCUACGGGAGGCAGCAGUGGGGAAUAUUGCACAAUGGGCGGAAGCCUGAUGCAGCGACGCCGCGUGAGGGAUGACGGCCUUCGGGUUGUAAACCUCUUUCAGCACGGAAGAAGCGAAAGUGACGGUACGUGCAGAAGAAGCGCCGGCUAACUACGUG